GGGUCAGUGAUGGAACGGAAUACAUCCGGUGCUUAAACCGCCGGGCCGAUAAGGAUUGAGGGUUCGAAUCCCUCCUGGCCCACCA
This 85-nucleotide transfer RNA is filed under the name Desulfonema magnum. RNAcentral describes it as "tRNA-Leu". It matches the Rfam family "tRNA". Rfam says of the family: Transfer RNA (tRNA) molecules are approximately 80 nucleotides in length. Their secondary structure includes four short double-helical elements and three loops (D, anti-codon, and T loops). The record is from RNAcentral. Lineage: Bacteria; Pseudomonadati; Thermodesulfobacteriota; Desulfobacteria; Desulfobacterales; Desulfococcaceae.